GGGCAGCACCCCCUGUUUGCUGCCUUUCCAGGGAGAGCAGCACGAGAAAGAAAGAGGGAGGCAAGCGAAAUUCCUGAAUGGAUAGACAGAUGCUACGUCAUCGGAGCCGCAUCCUCCACUCCACAAGAGGCUAGGAGCCGGAGAAAGAGGCAGGCCAGCGGCAGGGGCCACCGAGCCAGCGCGCCUCCUCCCAGAAGCCGGAGCGGAGCAUCGGAGAAGAGGCAGCCUCGUUUGUUUCUGGUGUCAUCGUAGGUGUCCACCUUUGGCUUUGGGGGAAGACCUGGAUAGUCGUUGAUAAUGGGGAUGGAACACGGUGACUUAAGAAUGAAGGCUACCCGUUUUCACCUGGGGUGAAUGGGUGUUCCACCACUCUCCUGCCCUCUUUCCGCCGCAAGAGCACCAGAACCGUAUCCAGCACCACGGACAGCUCCCAGGCGAUGAAUGAGGUGGCUGUGCUGACCCCCUUUGCAGGGGUUAGGAGGGGAAUCCUGUCUGCACGGUUAUAUAUCAAAGACAGAAUUUUAAUCUUUGGGAGUUGUUUGCAGGCAGUUGUUAAGUCUCAGGGAGAGGAAGAGGCUGAUGGCAGCUGUCAUUCCAUCUCCAGGAAAUAGGGUUUGUCCACUUCGGAGAGUCUGAAUGAGAGGGCUCCAGCAGCAAGAGGUUUGAGGGUUAAAUUUCUGGAAGAAUUUAAGCUAAGGUCAUAUAAGAUUCAGGCUCCCCCAGUGGCUCAGAGCUAAAGAACCCACCUGCCAAUGCAGGAGACACUGGAGACUCU
Long non-coding RNA from Capra hircus (goat), 775 nucleotides. RefSeq lists it as uncharacterized. NCBI's taxonomy places the organism in Eukaryota, Metazoa, Chordata, Mammalia, Artiodactyla, Bovidae. The transcript is spliced from 4 exons. The record is from RefSeq and is a predicted model, not a curated record.